GACCUCGGAUCAGGUAGGAGGACCCGCUGAACUUAAGCAUAUCAAUAAGCGGAGGANAAGAAACCAACAGGGAUUGCCCUAGUAACUGCGAGUGAAGCGGCAACAGCUCAAAUUUGAAAUCUGGCCUCGGCCCGAGUUGUAAUUUGCAGAGGAAGCUUUGGGCGCGGCGCCGUCUGAGUCCCCUGGAACGGGGCGCCAGAGAGGGUGAGAGCCCCGUAUAGUCGGAUGCCUAGCCUGUGUAAAGCUCCUUCGACGGGUCGAGUAGUUUGGGAAUGCUGCUCAAAAUGGGAGGUAAAUUUCUUCUAAAGCUAAAUACCGGCCAGAGACCGAUAGCGCACAAGUAGAGUGAUCGNAAAGAUGANAAGCACUUUGAAAAGAGGGUUAAACAGCACGUGAAAAUUGUUGAAAGGGAAGCGCUUGUGACCAAANUUGCGCCGGGCUGAUCAUCCNGNGUUUCUCACCGGUGCACUCUGCCCGGCUCAGGNCAANAUCGNUUCUUGCGGGGGGAUNAAAGCCCCUGGG
This 522-nucleotide ribosomal RNA is filed under the name uncultured Sordariales. RNAcentral's name for it is "eukaryotic LSU rRNA". It matches the Rfam family "Eukaryotic large subunit ribosomal RNA", at positions 1 to 533 of the family's 3401-position model. Lineage: Eukaryota; Fungi; Ascomycota; Sordariomycetes; Sordariales. The record is from RNAcentral.